RNAcentral lists this unclassified non-coding RNA (218 nucleotides) under Hevea brasiliensis (rubber tree). Lineage: Eukaryota; Viridiplantae; Streptophyta; Magnoliopsida; Malpighiales; Euphorbiaceae. The record is from RNAcentral.
UCCUUCUCCCCUUAUUUUGAUGUGGAAUUUUCCAUGGGCUAUUAAGCCCACCCCCUUUAAGGACUCGGUUACUCAGCGAUUCUACCAUCAUACUACGGAUGGUACUGGCAAGGUAUUGUUUGCUUUCUCCAACCCAUCUAGCCAUCUAAACGCUUUUGGGUGUAAUGAUUUUCACUUUGGACUUUCAUUAUAAAGAUGUUUCAACAGUUCUGUCUGAG